GCGGUUAUGGCGGAAUUGGCAGACGCGCUAGCUUCAGGCGCUAGUGGUGGCAACACCUUGGAGGUUCAAGUCCUCUUGACCGCACCA
This 87-nucleotide transfer RNA is filed under the name Mitsuokella multacida. Its description in RNAcentral is "tRNA-Leu". It matches the Rfam family "tRNA". Rfam says of the family: Transfer RNA (tRNA) molecules are approximately 80 nucleotides in length. Their secondary structure includes four short double-helical elements and three loops (D, anti-codon, and T loops). Further hydrogen bonds mediate the characteristic L-shaped molecular structure. tRNAs have two regions of fundamental functional importance: the anti-codon, which is responsible for specific mRNA codon recognition, and the 3' end, to which the tRNAs corresponding amino acid is attached (by aminoacyl-tRNA synthetases). tRNAs cope with the degeneracy of the genetic code in two manners: having more than one tRNA (with a specific anti-codon) for a particular amino acid; and 'wobble' base-pairing, i.e. permitting non-standard base-pairing at the 3rd anti-codon position. The record is from RNAcentral. Lineage: Bacteria; Bacillati; Bacillota; Negativicutes; Selenomonadales; Selenomonadaceae. RNAcentral also lists the same sequence under 8 other names.